UGGGGAAUUUUGGACAAUGGGCGAAAGCCUGAUCCAGCAAUGCCGCGUGUGUGAAGAAGGCCUUCGGGUUGUAAAGCACUUUUGUCCGGAAAGAAAUCCUUGGCUCUAAUACAGUCGGGGGAUGACGGUACCGGAAGAAUAAGCACCGGCUAACUACGUGCCAGCAGCCGCGGUAAUACGUAGGGUGCAAGCGUUAAUCGGAAUUACUGGGCGUAAAGCGUGCGCAGGCGGUUUGCUAAGACCGAUGUGAAAUCCCCGGGCUCAACCUGGGAACUGCAUUGGUGACUGGCAGGCUAGAGUAUGGCAGAGGGGGGUAGAAUUCCACGUGUAGCAGUGAAAUGCGUAGAGAUGUGGAGGAAUACCGAUGGCGAAGGCAGCCCCCUGGGCCAAUACUGACGCUCAUGCACGAAAGCGUGGGGAGCAAACAGGAUUAGAUACCCUGGCAGUCCACGCCCUAAAACGAUGUCAACUAGUUGUUGGGGAUUCAUUUCCUUAGUAACGUAGCUAACGCGUGAAGUUGACCGCCUGGGGAGUACGGUCGCAAGAUUAAAACUCAAAGGAAUUGACGGGGUCAUAGCUGUUUCCU
RNAcentral lists this ribosomal RNA (586 nucleotides) under uncultured bacterium. RNAcentral describes it as "partial 16S ribosomal RNA". It matches the Rfam family "Bacterial small subunit ribosomal RNA", at positions 355 to 1375 of the family's 1533-position model. The record is from RNAcentral.